RNAcentral lists this ribosomal RNA (512 nucleotides) under uncultured bacterium. RNAcentral describes it as "partial 16S ribosomal RNA". It matches the Rfam family "Bacterial small subunit ribosomal RNA", at positions 28 to 507 of the family's 1533-position model. The record is from RNAcentral.
GAUGAACGCUGGCGGCGUGCCUAAUACAUGCAAGUCGAACGAAACUUCUUUAUCACCGAGUGCUUGCACUCACCGAUAAAGAGUUGAGUGGCGAACGGGUGAGUAACACGUGGGCAACCUGCCCAAAAGAGGGGGAUAACACUUGGAAACAGGUGCCAAUACCGCAUAACCAUAGUUACCGCAUGGUAACUAUGUAAAAGGUGGCUAUACUACCGCUUUUGGAUGGGCCCGCGGCGCAUUAGCUAGUUGGUAGGGUAAAGGCUUACCAAGGCAAUGAUGCGUAGCCGAAUUGAGAGGUUGAUCGGCCACAUUGGGACUGAGACACGGCCCAAACUCCUACGGGAGGCAGCAGUAGGGAAUCUUCCACAAUGGGCGAAAGCCUGAUGGAGCAACGCCGCGUGGGUGAAGAAGGUCUUCGGAUCGUAAAACCCUGUUGUUAGAGAAGAAAGUGCGUGAGAGUAACUGUUCACGUUUCGACGGUAUCUAACCAGAAAGCCACGGCUAACUACGUG